GUGGGGCUGUAGUUCAGUGGCAGAGCGCUUGCCUAGCAUGCGUGAGGCACUGGGUUCAAUCCUCAGCACCACA
This 73-nucleotide transfer RNA is filed under the name Marmota monax (woodchuck). RNAcentral describes it as "tRNA.Ala". It matches the Rfam family "tRNA". From Rfam's summary of the family: Transfer RNA (tRNA) molecules are approximately 80 nucleotides in length. Lineage: Eukaryota; Metazoa; Chordata; Mammalia; Rodentia; Sciuridae. The record is from RNAcentral.